GCCCGGAUAGCUCAGUCGGUAGAGCAU
RNAcentral lists this non-coding RNA (27 nucleotides) under Bombyx mori (domestic silkworm). RNAcentral also lists the same sequence under 13 other names. Lineage: Eukaryota; Metazoa; Arthropoda; Insecta; Lepidoptera; Bombycidae. The record is from RNAcentral.